Molecule: ribosomal RNA, 408 nt
Filed under: Staphylococcus equorum UMC-CNS-924
Lineage: Bacteria; Bacillati; Bacillota; Bacilli; Caryophanales; Staphylococcaceae
Description: bacterial SSU rRNA
Rfam family: Bacterial small subunit ribosomal RNA
Source: RNAcentral
UUUAUGGAGAGUUUGAUCCUGGCUCAGGAUGAACGCUGGCGGCGUGCCUAAUACAUGCAAGUCGAGCGAACGGAUAAGGAGCUUGCUCCUUUGAAGUUAGCGGCGGACGGGUGAGUAACACGUGGGUAACCUACCUAUAAGACUGGAAUAACUUCGGGAAACCGGAGCUAAUGCCGGAUAACAUUUGGAACCGCAUGGUUCUAAAGUAAAAGAUGGUUUUGCUAUCACUUAUAGAUGGACCCGCGCCGUAUUAGCUAGUUGGUAAGGUAACGGCUUACCAAGGCAACGAUACGUAGCCGACCUGAGAGGGUGAUCGGCCACACUGGAACUGAGACACGGUCCAGACUCCUACGGGAGGCAGCAGUAGGGAAUCUUCCGCAAUGGACGAAAGUCUGACGGAGCAACGCC